RNAcentral lists this ribosomal RNA (607 nucleotides) under bacterium IrT-JG1-52. RNAcentral describes it as "bacterial SSU rRNA". It matches the Rfam family "Bacterial small subunit ribosomal RNA", at positions 34 to 660 of the family's 1533-position model. The record is from RNAcentral.
CGCUGGCGGCGUGCUUAACACAUGCAAGUCGAGCGAAGUUAUUCCUUUGGGAAUAACUUAGCGGCGGACGGGUGAGUAACACGUGGGUAACCUGCCUCAUAGAGGGGGAUAGCCUUCCGAAAGGAAGAUUAAUACCCCAUAACAUAGCAUUAUCGCAUGAUAAAGUUAUUAAAGGAGUAAUCCGCUAUGAGAUGGACCCGCGGCGCAUUAGCUAGUUGGUGAGGUAACGGCUCACCAAGGCCACGAUGCGUAGCCGACCUGAGAGGGUGAUCGGCCACUGGGACUGAGACACGGCCCAGACUCCUACGGGAGGCAGCAGUGGGGGAUAUUGCACAAUGGAGGAAACUCUGAUGCAGCAACGCCGCGUGAGGGAAGACGGUUUUCGGAUUGUAAACCUCUGUCCUUGGUGAAGAUAAUGACGGUAGCCAAGGAGGAAGCUCCGGCUAACUACGUGCCAGCAGCCGCGGUAAUACGUAGGGAGCAAGCGUUGUCCGGAUUUACUGGGUGUAAAGGGUGCGUAGGCGGCACUGCAAGUCAGGCGUGAAAGCCGGAGGCUUAACCUCCGAACUGCGUUUGAAACUGUGGUGCUUGAGUGAAGUAGAGUAGG